ACUCACUCACUGCCCUAUUUUGUCCCUGUAUUCGAAAGUGAUCGUGGGCUGCCUUUGCCCUGGUCAUUGAUAGUGCAGGGAGAGGAAUCAAUGAAAGCGCUUCCCCGUGUUUGAAGGGUCCACUCCUAUCCCUUCCAAACUCUGGAGCUUUCGUACAUGCCUUUAUUCUCACCAGUGAUGUUACCUCCUGGUACCUGGUUGUCGUGCCAGACCCCUGUUUACCUCAUUAGGGAUGGCACCAGGUUCAACAGGCCGGAGAAGAGACCUGGAGC
Homo sapiens (human) is the source of this 272-nucleotide small nucleolar RNA. Ensembl annotates it as small nucleolar RNA, H/ACA box 71B. Its record names the gene SNORA71B. The record is from Ensembl. Lineage: Eukaryota; Metazoa; Chordata; Mammalia; Primates; Hominidae.